This is a long non-coding RNA of Cyprinus carpio (common carp), 983 nucleotides long. Lineage: Eukaryota; Metazoa; Chordata; Actinopteri; Cypriniformes; Cyprinidae. The record is from Ensembl.
CGUUUGCCUAGAGUGGCAUCUGCUGGGAAAAUAUGGAUGUGUAUUAAACUGAAUAGUUCAGAAUGAAAUUCGCUAUACUUCUCUGCUGUUACUCAGUGCUUAGCAGCCAGUGGUCCCCAUUGAAAUGAUAUGGAAAAGAGCAGCGUGAACAUCCUGCCCAACAUCUCCUUUUGUUUGAUGGCGAACAGAAAGUCAAAGGGGUUUGGACUGACAUGAAGCCAUCAAUAGGAGGGAAGAAGGAUCAGCAGGACCCUUGAAGGUGGCCACUGUCAGACAGGUUUAUGGAUGGUGUAGUUCUUCACCAGAACUUCGGCUUUUACACACCACCUCAGGAGCUUAUGCUGAGUCUGUAUUGAAAGGUUCAUAUGAUUUAUAAUGAUUAUAUAGCAAUAGUUUGUGUACAGUAUGUGCUAUAUUUAUUCAUAGUCUGUAACUCAUGAUAAUUGCUCAUUACAGGAUUCUGAUGUUUCAUCCAAAAAAGAGCCUACGCAAUCGCACUGAAACCUGAUCCGGGACUCGCAUGAGCCGGGAUUGACAAAAAAUAUUUCAUCUCUGCCUUCUUCCCAGCACCUUGGCCCCUCUUGCUGAUCUUAUCUCCCAAUUACUGCCCUGCAAACAUUCCUGCACUCCAAACAGACUGCGAACGUGGAACGCUGGAGUCCAUGAUCACCUGUUCUUUUCUAGACAUGCAUCUACUUCCUGUUCUGAAGCAACAGUAAGCAGGAGUUUGACCUUGGCGGAGAUUGUGGGGCCACACCGGAGGGAGGGCGAUAGGUGGGAAAGACAUCUCCCGCUCCUGAAUUUGAUCCAGGAUCUGCUCCAUCGACAUGUGUUCAGUAACGUUACGUCACAGGCCAGGAGCCCUAAAAACAAAGUGUAAGUCUGAAUUGCUGAGCUUGAGUUGCACCGUGGCCAACUUUAAUAUAACACUGUUACCCUAACCAGUCAUUGAGCGUUAUUUAGAUUUUAUCUUGAUUUCAGUU